RNAcentral lists this long non-coding RNA (992 nucleotides) under Gallus gallus (chicken). Its description in RNAcentral is "lncRNA (ENSGALG00010029975.1)". Lineage: Eukaryota; Metazoa; Chordata; Aves; Galliformes; Phasianidae. The record is from RNAcentral.
GUCGGUGUUGAAGGGAGCUGCAGUGCAUGGUUGACUAUGAGAGCUUCACGACCUUCCUGGGCACAGUGACCACAUCACAGGUACUGGCUGUGUCAAAGGGGUCGUCCAUUCUGAGGAAGGACCUCUUUCUGCUCCGCUGCACUUCCAGAUGUUUGGUUUUGCUCUUUCGUUUCCCUGAUGGUUUCUGGCUCACAGCACAGUUUUGCAGAAGAGAGGCAGGUUGGAAGAUCCCCUCUUUGCCUGUGCUUGGCCCAUCUGUCUUGCAGCUUCCUGCAGUCUUCUGCAGUUUGGCAGCCAAACCUGGGGCAGGAGCGCAGCUGGGCUGAGCCUGAUUGCUGCCAUUUGCACUGGCGGAUGGAAGGCCUUCCAGGGACAGACACUUGGGGAAGAUGGGCAAGGCUUUGCAGCUUUUCUUGGCCUUGGGCCUAAAUUCCACCUGCAGUUCGUCGGCAGGUUCCUCAGCCUGGCUGCCAUGGCGGUGCUCUCUCCCAGCACAGUGCUUGCGCUUCCUGGGCUGACCUGAGCAUGGAUGUGGAGUGAUGUGUUCUGCUGGCCCAUCUGCUGCUGCUUUGUUGGUAGCUGCUGGUGGCUCCAAGAUGGGCAUCACAGCAUUCUCCAUUGUCCUCUUCUUUUGGCUGAGCUGGCUCUGGUCUGCACGCAGCUCAGGGCUCCCAUGUUGGAAUGGGACACAUACGGGAGCAACAGAGAUCACGGUUUGGCUCACCGGUUUAGAUGGAUUCGCUUUGUGCAGGCUAUGGCUGGCACUGCCAGUGGUUGUGGCUCCAAGGCUCAGCUGCAUGAAGCGUCUGCACAGCUCAGGGAUGUCAUCCUGCAGCGUGCCCGAGGUCGGAGCGGUGCCAUCAGUGCCAUGAGCAGUCUCUUGCAGCUGGAAGGCUGGCACAGGCUGGGGGAUGGCUCUCUGUGCCCUUGGCUGGGCUGAGAAAUCUUCUGCCCUCCAGGCAAACAUCGCCCAACGGACGGAUUUCACAAAG